This 533-nucleotide ribosomal RNA is filed under the name Plectropomus leopardus (leopard coralgrouper). RNAcentral's name for it is "partial 16S ribosomal RNA". It matches the Rfam family "Bacterial large subunit ribosomal RNA", at positions 1946 to 2597 of the family's 2925-position model. Lineage: Eukaryota; Metazoa; Chordata; Actinopteri; Perciformes; Serranidae. The record is from RNAcentral.
CCGUGCGAAGGUAGCGCAAUCACUUGUCUUUUAAAUGGAGACCUGUAUGAAUGGCAAGACGAAGGCUUAACUGUCUCCUUUUCCAAGUCAAUGAAAUUGAUCUACCCGUGCAGAAGCGGGUAUAAUAACAUAAGACGAGAAGAACCCUAUGGAGCUUCAGACACUAAAGUAGAUCAUACCCUCUGUAAUUACACAAAAACAAUGCAAGCCUCAUGCUACCUCCCCUCAAUGUCUUUGGUUGGGGCGACCAUGGGGAAAACCAAAAAACCCCCCACAAUGGGAAGUGGGGCACACCAGGUUCCUUAUUAUCAAAGGAGCCAACCAGCUCUUAAUUUACAGUUAUUUUUGAACAAUAAAAGAAUCCGGCCAUGCCGGAUUAAUGAACCAAGGUUACCCUCAGGAUUACAAGCGGCAAUUCCCCUUUUAAGAAUUCAUUAUCGCACAAAGGGGUUUACAAACUCAUGUUUAUACAAGGACAAUCCUAAUGGUGCAAACGCGUAUUUAAGGGUUCGUGGUUACACSAUUAAAGUCCU